This 502-nucleotide ribosomal RNA is filed under the name Mycolicibacterium rhodesiae. RNAcentral's name for it is "bacterial SSU rRNA". It matches the Rfam family "Bacterial small subunit ribosomal RNA", at positions 1 to 522 of the family's 1533-position model. The record is from RNAcentral. Lineage: Bacteria; Bacillati; Actinomycetota; Actinomycetes; Mycobacteriales; Mycobacteriaceae.
UGGAGAGUUUGAUCCUGGCUCAGGACGAACGCUGGCGGCGUGCUUAACACAUGCAAGUCGAACGGAAAGUGCCCUUCGGGGUGACUCGAGUGGCGAACGGGUGAGUAACACGUGGGUGAUCUGCCCUGCACUUUGGGAUAAGCCUGGGAAACUGGGUCUAAUACCGAAUAGGAUCAUGGCCUUCAUGGGUUGUGGUGGAAAGCUUUUGCGGUGUGGGAUGGGCCCGCGGCCUAUCAGCUUGUUGGUGGGGUAAUGGCCUACCAAGGCGACGACGGGUAGCCGGCCUGAGAGGGUGUCCGGCCACACUGGGACUGAGAUACGGCCCAGACUCCUACGGGAGGCAGCAGUGGGGAAUAUUGCACAAUGGGCGCAAGCCUGAUGCAGCGACGCCGCGUGAGGGAUGACGGCCUUCGGGUUGUAAACCUCUUUCAGUAGGGACGAAGCGCAAGUGACGGUACCUAUAGAAGAAGCACCGGCCAACUACGUGCCAGCAGCCGCGGUA